RNAcentral lists this long non-coding RNA (10649 nucleotides) under Zea mays. RNAcentral's name for it is "long non-coding RNA (ZMAY_LNC005784)". Lineage: Eukaryota; Viridiplantae; Streptophyta; Magnoliopsida; Poales; Poaceae. The record is from RNAcentral.
AAACAUAUGUGGGGUGAGGUGUAUGAGCCUCUGGUCGAUGAUCAAUGGCCACACAACCCCCAUUUUUGUCGAAAAUAGCCAUGAACGACCAUUUUCAAUAAUACCGAAGGCUAACACGUACGAGUUUUUAACCAAGAAAUGGUUUCCACCAGAAAUCCAAGAAUGUAAUCUAUGGCAAGGAAACAUAUGUGGGGUGAGGUUUAUGAGCCUCUAGUCGAUGAUAAAUGGCCACACAACCCCCAUUUUUAUGAAAAUAGCCAUGGCGACCUGAAAAUAGCCAUGAGCGACCAUUUUCAAUAAUACUAGAGGCUAACACCUACGGAUUUUAGACCAAGAAAUGGUCUCCACCAGAAAUCCAAGAAUGUGAUCUAUGGCAAGGAAACAUAUGUGGGGUGAGGUGUAUGAGCGUCUGGUCGAUGAUCAAUGGCCACACAACCCCCAUUUUUGUCGAAAAUAGCCAUGAACGACCAUUUUCAAUAAUACCGAAGGCUAACACCUACGGAUUUUUGACCAAGAAAUGGUCUCCACCAGAAAUCCAAGAAUGUGAUCUAUGGCAAGGAAACAUAUGUGGGGUGAGGUGUAUGAGCCUCUGGUCGACGAUCAAUGGCCACACAACCCCAUUUUUGUCGAAAAUAGCCAUGAACGACCAUUUUCAAUGACACUGAAGGCUAACACCUACGGAUUUUUGACCAAGAAAUGGUCUCCACCAUAAAUCCAAGAAUGUGAUCUAUGGCAAGGAAACAUAUGUGUAGUGAGGUGUAUGAGCCUCUGGUCGAAGAUCAAUGGCCACACAACCCCCAUUUUUGUCGAAAAUAGCCAUGAAUGACCAUUUUCAAAAUACCAAAGGCUAACACGUACGGAUUUUUGACCAAGAAAUGGUCUCCACCAGAAAUCCAAGAAUGUGAUCUAUGGCAAGGAAACAUAUGUGGGGUGAGGUGUACGAGCCUCUGGUCGAUGAUCAAUGGCCACACAACCCCCAUUUUGCCGAAAAUAGCCAUGAACGACCAUUUUCAAUAAUACCGAAGGCUAACACGUACGAGUUUUUAACCAAGAAAUGGUCUCCACCAGAAAUCCAAGAAUGUGAUCUAUGGCAAGGAAACAUAUGUGGGGUGAGGUUUAUGAGCCUCUAGUCGAUGAUAAAUGGCCACACAACCCCCAUUUUUUAUGAAAAUAGCCAUGAGCGACCUUGAAAAUAGCCAUGAGCGACCAUUUUCAAUAAUACUAGAGGCUAACACCUACGGAUUUUAGACCAAGAAAUGGUCUCCACCAGAAAUCCAAGAAUGUGAUCUAUGGCAAGGAAACAUAUGUGGGGUGAGGUGUAUGAGCGUCUGGUCGAUGAUCAAUGGCCACACAACCCCCAUUUUUAUCGAAAAUAGCCAUGAACGACCAUUUUCAAUAAUACCUAAGGCUAACACCUACGGAUUUUUGACCAAGAAAUGGUCUCCACCAGAAAUCCAAGAAUGUGAUCUAUGGCAAGGAAACAUAUGUGGGGUGAGGUGUAUGAGCCUCUGGUCGACGAUCAAUGGCCACACAACCCUAUUUUUGUCGAAAAUAGCCAUGAACGACCAUUUUCAAUGACACUGAAGGCUAACACCUACGGAUUUUUGACCAAGAAAUGGUCUGUUGGGGACUUGUUCUCAAGUGCUAUGAGUUAAGAACAAGACAACAUAGAAAAUGUUAAUCGUUAAAGUCCUUCGCCCUCCGAAACAUUAUUUCCCCUAGGAUAUAAUGGUUUACGGACGAAGGUUAUGAAGGACGUACCUUCAUAAAUCCAUUAAUCAAUGACGAAGAAUAAAAUGUAAAGAAUAUAAAAGACGAUAUAAACAAUUAUAUAUUAUUAUUAGGCAUAAACAGAAAUGUCAUUGAAUUACAAGUGUACCUUCAAUCGGAAGAAGAUGACAGUACAAUCGUGACGCAAAAAGUGAAUGUCCAGUCAGCGUGAACAGUACAGGGGUACUGUUCACCUAUUUAUAGGCACGGGACACAGCCCAUACAAAAUUACAUUCAUGCCCUUUACAUUUGAUAAUAGUUCUAUAGUAAUCUAUCGAGGUUUAAAUAGCCUUUUCAUCUUUAAGUCGGUUUCAUUUUCUGUAACCACGCCGAAGCUUUCCUGCUAACAUCUUCGGCGUUGUAUCAAGACCUUCGUAUUAUCCUGGUCUUCUCUCUGCCGUGAUAUCGACUUGAGUCCGAAGGUACCUGCUCACACAUUAUACUUCCAGAAAUACUGUUAAAUUCUGUUUUUGAGGACCUUCGGAUGCCGAAGGUCCCCAACAGUAGCCCCUCGCAAUAUUAAUUUGUUUUAAAUAACGAAUUUAAAUUGCGACAUGGACGAAGGCUUUACACCGAAGGUCCAAAAAAACACCUUCCCUUUGCUAGAAUAGCAACAUUCACUGACAAGCGGGGUCUUUGAAUUUUCAACGCUCUUGGCGUAUAAAUACGGCCAUACCACAAACUCAUUUGUCACGCUUUCUGGCCAACUACUCCCGCUCACUCAAUUUUUAGCUCUUGUGCGCUGCGAUUUGCUAGGCUUUUAGUUUUUGAAUCUUCGGCUUUAAAAAUAGUUUUUUAGCGUCUCCGAAGAUGUCUGAAGAUAAGAAGACUGUUGCUGAGAUGAAGCUGAGCCUUGAUGAAGAGAAAAACUUGGGGUUUCUUAUAGCGAUGUCAAAGACGAAUACAGAAAAAAUUACCAAGGAGAUUCUGGAAGGUUUGUCUGAAGAUACUGGUGACAGUGACAGCUAUGAUGUGGACAGUGGUGGUGAGGACUCCGAAGAUCGGCCCUGGCGACCAAGCCAUUCAGUUUAUGGUAAAUCAACUAUCAAAGAGAAUCAUCUUGUCAACAUGAGAGGAAGGUAUUUCCGGGAUUUGUCCAUUGUGAGGGCCGACGAAGGGGAAAAAACUUGCCCACACCCUGAAGAGAAUGAAGUCGUAGUGUUCCGAAGCUUUUUGAAAGCUGGACUGCGAUUUCCUUUGAGCAGCUUCGUUGUGGAGGUUCUGAAAAUAUUUGAAGUCUAUCUCCAUCAACUUACCCCCGAGGCAAUUAUAAGGCUAAAUAUCUUCGUGUGGGCCGUGAGAAGCCAAGGUCUGAAGCCUGAUGCAAAAAGUUUCUGCAAUGUACACGAAUUAUCAUACGAAACAAAACCUUGGGGUAAGGAACAGUAUCACAAUAAUUUUGGCUGCUACAAUUUUGUUUCUCGGUCCGGGUCAAGCUGUCCCGUGCCAACCUUUCGGAAGAGAUGGCCAGGCGACUGGAUGACAGAAUGGUUUUAUGUGAAGAAUGAUCUGACAGCGCGAGAGGAUAUCAAAGGUGUAAUUAUGCGCCCUAUUUGGCAAAGCUUUGGCCUUCGGAGGCCGAAGGUUGAAAUGAGUGAGGCAGCUGAAGAAUGCCAGAGGGCCUUCGGCGUUAUCUGUUCUUUUAUUGGAACGAGGGACUUAGUACAAGAGCAUAUCGCCUUUAGGGUAUGGCCGCUUGCGGAGAAAUGGGAAAUGCCACAAGAAACCAUAAAAGAGGCCGACGAAGGUGGACUUAUCAGGUUGAAGUACACUUUUAAGUUUGGAGAUAAAUUCGUUGAGCCAGAUGAUGACUGGUUAAAAAGCAUUGAAAAUUUAAGUGAUGAGCUGCUUGGGACCUAUUCGAAGGCCGAAGACACUGCAAUGUCAGCAGCCUUCAGAGGCCGAAAAAAGAAGAGGCUGAAUCGGGUAUUUGAUGCAAUCGGGUUUGUCUACCCUGACUAUUGCUAUCCCAUUCGAAGGCAGAAGAGAAAAAACACAACCUCUGCAAAAGAAGAAGCUGCAACUGCUCCUAGCGAGCCAAAACCGAAAAGGAAGAAGAUAAAGGUCCUUACACAUCGGCCGCGCUAUAUUGAACCAGCUUCGGUGCCUGAGUUUACCGGAGAAACUUCUUCGGCCACCGAAGCUGAAAAACCAACCGAGCCAACUUUGCUGCCAGAAGUCGCAGAAAUGGCCGAAGUGCCACCAAAGAUAGAAUUGGAACAAUCAAAGAUUUUGUUAUCAGAAACGAAAGAGAAGGCCGAAGCACCGUCUACAGGAAAAAUGGAAGAGGUAAAAGAAGCAACUGAGGGCUCCAAAACAUCAGAAGUUUUGAGUCCUGCAGCAAACAUUGAGACAGUAAAAAAUCAAAAAGUGCCAGCAGUGACUCCGAAAAGAAAGAGAAUGGCUAAUGUGCUAGAUGUACUAGAAACGAUCAAAUCUUCAAGCACACCUCCGAAGAAGGCUGCUGUCAUUCCUGAAACAACAACUGAAAUUUCUGGUUCUGAAGCUCCAGAGCAAGAGACUGAAGCCGAAGCUGGGCCCUCAGAGCCCACAAAGAUAAAACCCUUGGAAAGUGAGACAGAAGAAAUAACAAAACCAACUUUUGUUGAAGAAACCGGUGUUAUUGCCCCCGAAGCAUCCCCCAAAGUUCGUGAUUAUAUUGUUCGUCAUGCUUCGGGGAAAAAGCUAUCAGAAAAAGAAGAGCAAGAGGCCCAGCACUACGCCCAAAAACUAAAAUAUCCAAAGGGGGCGUUAAUAUUCAAUGGCAGUGGAGAAGACUUCUUGUAUUGUCUUCCCGACAGCAAGGAGAUUUCUGUGUGUCGAGAGAUAAGCAAGAGCUUCGGAUUUCCAACUUUAGAAGACGGGCUCUCGGUGCUGUCGAAGAACGAUCUGGCCGACAGCCUAGCUUAUAAUAGCUUGAAGGUGCGACAAAUGAAAUCCUUGUAUUUUUGGCUUGUUUAAACCUAUUGACGCACACAUACUUCUUUUUGCAGGGCCUGAUACUUAGCAAUGCCCUCAGGGCACAGAAAGAUGCUGAAGACGAAGGUUGUACCAUAGCCCUGAGCAACCUUCGUUCCGAAGUAAUUGAACUGAGGAACGAAGGUCUUGAAAAAGAUAAAAUAUUAUACUCAUUGAUAAAUAAAAUAAAGGAAGACGAAGCUGCUUUUAAAGGUCAAGCUGAAGCUCAGAAGCGCGAAAUUGAAGAUCUUCGGAAACAACUGGCCAGAGCCAAGGAAGAACGCAUACUUGAAGAAACAAAGCGUGAACUCAGCGAUCAAUGGGCAGAUCACCUAGAAGUGACUGUUGAAGAGCUUCGUUCGUCCAAAAAGAGAUGUUAUAACAAAUCUAUAGAUUGUGUUAAGAAGCUAAAGGCUAGCUUCGCCAAGGUCGGCGCAUUUUCAAGUGAGGAAAACUUUUCGAGAGGCAAUCCCGAAGGUGUCAUCGAAUGGAUCGACCACGAAGCUGAAGCCUUCGAAGAAAUUUUAAAUAGCCGAGGAGAUAUAUGCGCCUUCUCUGGUGCCAGAGGAAUUGCCACCAUCUUAGAGAAAAAGGGCUGCGAACAUGUAAAAAUUUUAGCACAAUCCGAAGCUGCUUUGCCCUUUGAAGAUGCAAGAGAUCCUUCGGCUGAAGCUAGUAUAAUUGGUGGAAAAUUUUUUACCGAUAUCUGGGAUAAUGGUGGCCGAGAAAUGGCCGGAGAAAUUAUUCGAAGAAGUGAAAAGGGCAUUCACGAUGCUAGAGAAGUAGCUGAGGCUGUUGAAAAGAGCACAGAGGCCGAAGGUCAAUUAGGUAUUAACUAAUAGUUUUUAUCGUGUUGUAAUCUAAGGCUUUAAGAUUUGUUUGCGAUUUGUAAUAGCAAUGUAGCCGUAUGCUGUGUUACUUCAGAUCGUGCUAAAGCGUCUUCGGGCCCUCAGCCGAAAGGAGACGACGAAAUUAAAAGAAUGGCUGAAGAUAUUAUGGACGAAGUCGUCAAUCGGCUCCAGAACGAGGCUGCGGAAGUCGUUUUGAGAGAAGAUUAAGUAUUUUUGUGAAAACUUUCUGAAAUGUAAUAUACUGUAACAUUUUGUAACCCCAAAUGUAAUAUACCUAUUUUUGUUAGUCAAUUCUUCACGAUGCAUGAAACUUUAUACGUACCACUUUUGAGUCUUUGACGAAAAAACACCUUCCCUUCUUUUCAUGCUUCGUGAAGAAGAACUUUUCUUUGACACAACAAUAUCCACUGUUCUGAUGAUUAAUAUCCAGGCUUCGUGAAGAUAUUUUCCGAAGCUACACUUCCGAAGAUACACUUCCGAAGAUCAAUGAUGUAUCUUUUAGUGACUUUGAUUUCUCCCCUUUCUCAAAGCGUUCUUCUGUAGAUCAAUAAUGUUUCCACCUCUUGUGCCAUGUGCAAAAUGAUGUAUGAUGCUUAUGCUAUGCGAAAUGAUGCGAUGAUGUUAUGUUAUGUGAGAUGACGUUUAUUCCGAAGAUACAUACGCAUUCCUGCAAUAAAACACAAUCUUUUAUAAGCCUCCCUUAGGAGCCUCUUCGCCUUUUACUUCAGCGGAAUCAGCGUUUAUUUUUCGCUGUAAGCCUCCCUUAGGAGCUUCUUCGCCUUUUACUUUCAGCAGUAUUCGCGUUGACUUUUCGCGCUUCGCCUUUUACUUAGGCGGUAUCAGCGUUGACUUUUCGCUGUAUGCUCUGCAUUCCCUUUGGAACGACUUUGGAGCAGAAAACUUACACUGCGCUCCCUUUAGAACGACUUUUUGUGACUUCGGCAAACUUACUCUGCGUUCCUUAGAACGACUUUUUGUUGCUUCAAAGGAUUUUCGAUGGUUCGAAGGUCCUUUUUAUUAUCACAAGUCUUUGGACUUCAAUCAAUUUAAGCCUGUGGAGAAAACAUAUUUUUCUUGUAGGAAUCAACGAAACUAAUUACAUGAAACCUAAACAAUGUUCUUUAUUACAGAAGAUAAAACUGAAUGAAAAAGAUUGCUAUUAAGGUAGGAUAUUCGUCAAUAGAUGUGCUUUGACUCUGGCACAGUGCUAUUGACUGUACGAGCUUCGGACUGUUCUCUGAAAUCCCUCUGGUGUGGAGCAUACUGGCUCCCUUCUGGCUGCUGGCCUUGUUGCAACGGAGGUGGAGGCGGAGGCUGUUGCCAGGAAGCUUGAGGCUGACUUGCCGAAGCAACAGAAACUGCAGGAUGGUUGCCCACAUAUUCUGGGAUGUAGGGCGAAUGAUACGAAGCUGUAUGCAUGACCUGCUUCGGCUGAGCUUGUUGUGCUGCGGCUUCAGCUAUUUCCUUUUGCUUCUGAAUAGUAACAUGGCACAUCCUGGUAGUAUGGCCUUUGUUCUCACCGCAGAAUAAGCAAAAGAUUCUUCUCGGUUGAUCUCCAAACCUUCCUCCAAAGCCCCUGGCACCUCUGCCUCUUGGAGCUGGUGGUCGGAAGGAGCUUUGUUGUUGCCUCGAAGCCUAUGAGGAGCAUUGUGGCCUUUGCUGUUGGCUUCCUCUAUCAUCAUUUUGUGUAGAGUUAUGAAUUGACCUCACGUGCCUCGGGUAGAACCUCCCUCCGAAGCCCCUGGUCAUUUCAGAAAACCUGAAAGCCUCCUCCCUUCUUUGGCGAAAAUCAUUAUCGACCCGAAUGUACUCGUCCAUCUUCUGGAGCAGCUUCUCCAAAGUUUGAGGAGGCUUCCUGGCGAAGUACUGAGCUGACGGUCCUGGCCGAAGCCCCUUGAUCAUGGCCUCGAUGACAAUUUCAUUAGGCACCGUUGGUGCCUGUGCCCUCAAACGCAAGAACCUUCGGACAUACGCCUGAAGGUAUUCUUCGUGAUCCUGGGUACACUGGAACAGAGCCUAAGCAGUGACCGGCUUCGUCUGAAAUCCUUGAAAGCUAGUUAACAACAAGUCCUUCAGCUUCUGCCAUGAAGUAAUCGUUCCUGGUCGGAGGGAGGAAUACCAGGUUUGAGCAACACUUCUGACGGCCAUAACGAAAGAUUUGGCCAUGACUGAAGCAUUGCCACCAUACGAAGAUACUGUUGCUUCGUAGCUCAUCAAAAACUGCUUCGGGUCUGAGUGACCAUCGAAUACGGGAAGCUGAGGCGGCUUGUAGGACGGAGGCCAAGGUGUAGCCUGCAGCUCAGCGGACAGAGGAGAAGCAUCAUCAAAAACAAAAUUCCGAUGAUGGAAAUUGUCAUACCAGUCAUCUUCGUUGGGAAAACCCUCCUGAUGAAGGUCUUGGUGCUGAGGCCUUCGGUGUUGCUCAUCCUGAGCAAGAUGAUGAACUUCUUCAGAGGCUUCGUCUAUCUGCCUCUGCAGUUCAGCUAGCCUGGCCAUCUUUUCUUUCUUCCUCUGUACUUGUUGAUGAAGCAUUUCCAUAUCUCUGAUUUCUUGAUCUAUCUCGUCCUCUGGUGGUGUCGGACUGACAGCCUUCCUUUUCUGGCUUCGGGCCUCCCGCAGGGAAACUGUCUCCUGAUUGUGGUCCAGUGGUUGCAGAGCUGCAGCCCCAGUCGCUGAAGCUUUCUUCGGCGCCAUAACGAAGAUUUAUGAUCGCCGAAGGUGUUCAAAAAAACUUCAAAGAGUGGAAGUGAGUUCACCGGAGGUGGGCGCCAAUGUUGGGGACUUGUUCUCAAGUGCUAUGAGUUAAGAACAAGACAACAUAGAAAAUGUUAAUCGUUAAAGUCCUUCGCCCUCCGAAACAUUAUUUCCCCUAGGAUAUAAUGGUUUACGGACGAAGGUUAUGAAGGACGUACCUUCAUAAAUCCAUUAAUCAAUGACGAAGAAUAAAAUGUAAAGAAUAUAAAAGACGAUAUAAACAAUUAUAUAUUAUUAUUAGGCAUAAACAGAAAUGUCAUUGAAUUACAAGUGUACCUUCAAUCGGAAGAAGAUGACAGUACAAUCGUGACGCAAAAAGUGAAUGUCCAGUCAGCGUGAAUAGUACAGGGGUACUGUUCACCUAUUUAUAGGCACGGGACACAGCCCAUACAAAAUUACAUUCAUGCCCUUUACAUUUGAUAAUAGUUCUAUAGUAAUCUAUCGAGGUUUAAAUAUCCUUUUCAGCUUUAAGUCGGUUUCAUUUUCUGUAACCACGCCGAAGCUUUCCUGCUAACAUCUUCGGCGUUGUAUCAAGACCUUCGUAUUAUCCUGGUCUUCUCUCUGCCGUGAUACCGACUUGAGUCCGAAGGUACCUGCUCACACAUUAUACUUCCAGAAAUACUGUUAAAUUCUGUUUUUGAGGACCUUCGGAUGCCGAAGGUCCCCAACAUGGUCUCCACCAUAAAUCCAAGAAUGUGAUCUAUGGCAAGGAAACAUAUGUGUAGUGAGGUGUAUGAGCCUCUGGUCGAAGAUCAAUGGCCACACAACCCCCAUUUUUGUCGAAAAUAGCCAUGAAUGACCAUUUUCAAAAAUACCAAAGGCUAACACAUUCGGAUUUUUGCCCAAGAAAUGGUCUCCACCAGAAAUCCAAGAAUGUGAUCUAUGGCAAGGAAACAUAUGUGGGGUGAGGUGUACGAGCCUCUGGUCGAUGAUCAAUGGCCACAGAACCCCCAUUUUGCCGAAAAUAGCCAUGAACGACCAUUUUCAAUAAUACCGAAGGCUAACACGUACGAGUUUUUGACCAAGAAAUGGUCUCCACCAAAAAUCCAAGAAUGUGAUCUAUGGCAAGGAAACAUAUGUGGGGUGAGAUUUAUGAGCCUCUAGUCGAUGAUAAAUGGCCACACAACCCCAUUUUUUAUGAAAAUAGCCAUGAGCGACCAUUUCAAUAAUAUUAGAGGCUAAGACCUACGGAUUUUUGACCAAGAAAUGGUCUCCACCAGAAAUCCAAGAAUGUGAUCUAUGGCAAGGAAACAUAUGUGGGGUGAGGUGUAUGAGCCUCUGGUCGAUGAUCAAUGGCCACACAACCCCCAUUUUUGUCGAAAAUAGCCAUGAAUGACCAUUUACAAUAAUACCGAAGGCUAACACCUACGGAUUUUUGACCAAGAAAUGGUCUCCACCAGAAAUCCAAGAAUGUGAUCUAUGGCAAGGAAACAUAUGUGGGGUGAGGUGUAUGAGCCUCUGGUCGAUGAUCAAUGGCCACACAACCCCCAUUUUUGUCGAAAAUAGCCAUGAACGACCAUUUUCAAUAAUAUCGAAGGCUAACACCUAUGGAUUUUUGACCAAGAAAUGGUCUCCACCAGAAAUCCAAGAAUGUGAUCUACGACAAGGAAACAUAUGUGGGGUGAGGUGUAUGAGCCUCUGGUCGACGAUCAAUGGCCACACAACCCCCAUUUUGCCGAAAAUAGCCAUGAAUGACCAUUUUCAAUAAUACCGAAAGCUAACACGUACGAGUUUUUAACCAAGAAAUGGUUUCCACCAGAAAUCCAAGAAUGUAAUCUAUGGCAAGGAAACAUAUGUGGGGUGAGGUUUAUGAGCCUCUAGUCGAUGAUAAAUGGCCACACAACCCCCAUUUUUUAUGAAAAUAGCCAUGAGCGACCUUGAAAAUAGCCAUGAGCGACCAUUUCAAUAAUACUAGAGGCUAACACCUACGGAUUUUAGACCAAGAAAUGGUCUCCACCAGAAAUCCAAGAAUGUGAUCUAUGGCAAGGAAACAUAUGUGGGGUGAGGUGUAUGAGCGUCUGGUCGAUGAUCAAUGGCCACACAACCCCCAUUUUUGUCGAAAAUAGCCAUGAACGACCAUUUUCAAUAAUACCGAAGGCUAACACCUACGGAAUUUUGACCAAGAAAUGGUCUCCAGCAGAAAUCCAAGAAUGUGAUCUAUGGCAAGGAAACAUAUGUGGGGUGAGGUGUAUGAGCCUCUGGUCGACGAUCAAUGGCCACACAACCCCCAUUUUUGUCGAAAAUAGCCAUGAGCGACCUUGAAAAUAGCCAUGAGCGACCAUUUUCAAUAAUACUAGAGGCUAACACCUACGGAUU